Molecule: ribosomal RNA, 697 nt
Filed under: marine bacterium SE09
Lineage: Bacteria; Pseudomonadati; Pseudomonadota; Alphaproteobacteria; Hyphomicrobiales
Description: bacterial SSU rRNA
Rfam family: Bacterial small subunit ribosomal RNA
Source: RNAcentral
CGCUGGCGGCAGGCUUAACACAUGCAAGUCGAACGAAGUCUUCGGACUCAGUGGCAGACGGGUGAGUAACGCGUGGGAACCUACCCUUUGGUACGGAACAACAGUUGGAAACGACUGCUAAUACCGUAUGAGCCCUACGGGGGAAAGAUUUAUCGCCAAAGGAUGGGCCCGCGUUGGAUUAGCUAGUUGGUGGGGUAAAAGCCUACCAAGGCGACGAUCCAUAGCUGGUCUGAGAGGAUGAUCAGCCACACUGGGACUGAGACACGGCCCAGACUCCUACGGGAGGCAGCAGUGGGGAAUAUUGGACAAUGGGGGCAACCCUGAUCCAGCCAUGCCGCGUGAGUGAUGAAGGCCCUAGGGUUGUAAAGCUCUUUCAGCGAGGAGGAUAAUGACGUUACUCGCAGAAGAAGCCCCGGCUAACUUCGUGCCAGCAGCCGCGGUAAUACGAAGGGGGCUAGCGUUGUUCGGAAUCACUGGGCGUAAAGCGCACGUAGGCGGACUUUUAAGUCAGGGGUGAAAUCCCGGGGCUCAACCCCGGAACUGCCUUUGAUACUGGAAGUCUUGAGUNCUAGAGAGGUGAGUGGAACUCCGAGUGUAGAGGUGAAAUUCGUAGAUAUUCGGAAGAACACCAGUGGCGAAGGCGGCUCACUGGCUCGGUACUGACGCUGAGGUGCGAAAGCGUGGGGAGCAAACUGGA